UAGGGAAUCUUGCGCAAUGGGGGAAACCCUGACGCAGCGACGCCGCGUGCGGGAUGAAGGCCUUCGGGUCGUAAACCGCUUUCAGCAGGGACGAAAUUGACGGUACCUGCAGAAGAAGGCCCGGCCAACUACGUGCCAGCAGCCGCGGUGAUACGUAGGGGUCUAGCGUUGUCCGGAAUUAUUGGGCGUAAAGAGCUCGUAGGCGGUUCGGCAAGUCGGAUGUGAAAUCUCCACGCUUAACGUGGAGGGGCCAUUCGAAACUGCCGUGACUCGAGUCCGGUAGGGGAGUGCGGAAUUCCCGGUGUAGCGGUGAAAUGCGCAGAUAUCGGGAGGAACACCAGUGGCGAAGGCGGCACUCUGGGCCGGAACUGACGCUGAGGAGCGAAAGCGUGGGGAGCGAACAG
This 404-nucleotide ribosomal RNA is filed under the name uncultured bacterium. Its description in RNAcentral is "bacterial SSU rRNA". It matches the Rfam family "Bacterial small subunit ribosomal RNA", at positions 355 to 775 of the family's 1533-position model. The record is from RNAcentral.